UACAGAGGGUGCAAACGUUGCUCGGAAUUACUGGGCGUAAAGCGCGUGUAGGUGGAUUGGUGUGUCAGAUGUGAAAGCCCUGGGCUCAACCCAGGAACUGCACCUGAAACUACCAGUCUUGAGUGGUGGAGAGGGAAGUGGAAUUCCUGGUGUAGAGGUGAAAUUCGUAGAUAUCAGGAGGAACACCAGUGGCGAAGGCGGCUUCCUGGACACUAACUGACGCUGAGACGCGAAAGCGUGGGGAGCGAACAGG
This 253-nucleotide ribosomal RNA is filed under the name uncultured bacterium. Its description in RNAcentral is "partial 16S ribosomal RNA". It matches the Rfam family "Bacterial small subunit ribosomal RNA", at positions 524 to 776 of the family's 1533-position model. The record is from RNAcentral.